GAUGAACGCUGGCGGCGUGCCUAACACAUGCAAGUCGAACGGUCGGCUUCGGUCGAUAGUGGCGCACGGGUGCGUAACACGUAUGGAACUUGCCCUUUACUGGGAGAUAGCCCGGAGAAAUCCGGAUUAAUAUCCCAUAAUAAACGAAGUGGCAUCACUUUGUUUUGGAAGCUCCGGCGGUAAAGGAUGGCCAUGCGCAC
This 200-nucleotide ribosomal RNA is filed under the name uncultured bacterium. RNAcentral describes it as "partial 16S ribosomal RNA". It matches the Rfam family "Bacterial small subunit ribosomal RNA", at positions 28 to 238 of the family's 1533-position model. The record is from RNAcentral.